UACGGAGGGUGCAAGCAUUAAUCGGAUUUAUUGGGCGUAAAGGGGCGUAGGUGGGAAGACAAGUCAGACGUGAAAUUCCGAAGCUUAACUUCGGAGCUGCAUCUGAAACUGUUUUCUAGAGGGUAGGCGGAGAAAACGGAAUUCCACAAGUAGCGGUGAAAUGCGUAGAUAUGUGGAAGAACACCGGUGGCGAAGGCGGUUUUCUAGCUUAUACCUGACACUGAUGCCCG
Molecule: ribosomal RNA, 230 nt
Filed under: uncultured bacterium
Lineage: Bacteria
Description: partial 16S ribosomal RNA
Rfam family: Bacterial small subunit ribosomal RNA
Source: RNAcentral